This 828-nucleotide ribosomal RNA is filed under the name Drino rhoeo. RNAcentral's name for it is "partial 28S ribosomal RNA". It matches the Rfam family "Eukaryotic large subunit ribosomal RNA", at positions 156 to 861 of the family's 3401-position model. The record is from RNAcentral. Lineage: Eukaryota; Metazoa; Arthropoda; Insecta; Diptera; Tachinidae.
GAAUGUCAAAUUUCUAGUAUGAGAAAUUAACGAUUUAAGUCCUUCUUAAAUGAGGCCAUUUACCCAUAGAGGGUGCCAGGCCCGUAUAACGUUAAUGAUUACUAGAUGACAUUUCCAAAGAGUCGUGUUGCUUGAUAGUGCAGCACUAAGUGGGUGGUAAACUCCAUCUAAAACUAAAUAUAACCAUGAGACCGAUAGUAAACAAGUACCGUGAGGGAAAGUUGAAAAGAACUCUGAAUAGAGAGUUAAAUAGUACGUGAAACUGCUUAGAGGUUAAGCCCGAUGAACCUGAAUAUCCAUUAUAGAAAAUUCAUCAUUAUGAUUUUUAUUAUAAUAAUAGUGUGCAUUUUUUCUAUAUAGGACAUUGUAAUCUAUUAACAAUUUAUCAUAAGAUCUAGCACAAGUUUAUUCAAAUUAUUUUGCGUAUAACAUAGAAUAAAUGCAUUAGAUUUGAUAAAGUGUUGAUAGAUUUAUAUAUAGUGCUUGAAUAAUAUUCUAUAAUAUCAUAUUAAUUAUUAAUUUUUAUGUUCAUUGUAUGCACUUAUAUGAUUAACAAUGCGAAAGAUUCAGGAUACCUUCGGGACCCGUCUUGAAACACGGACCAAGGAGUCUAACAUAUUUGCAAGUUAUUGGGUAAAACCUAAUAGCAAAAUUAACAUAACUUUGGGAUUAGUUUUUAGCCUAUUAAUUCAAUCCCGGGGCGUUCUAUAUAGUUAUGUAUAAUAAUAUUUAUAUUAUUUAUACCUCUAACUAGAACGUACCUUGAGCAUAUAUGCUAUGACCCGAAAGAUGGUGAACUAUACUUGAUCAGGUUGAAGUCAGGGGAAA